This 241-nucleotide ribosomal RNA is filed under the name uncultured bacterium. Its description in RNAcentral is "partial 16S ribosomal RNA". It matches the Rfam family "Bacterial small subunit ribosomal RNA", at positions 15 to 249 of the family's 1533-position model. The record is from RNAcentral.
GAUCAUGGCUCAGGAUGAACGCUAGCUACAGACUUAACACAUGCAAGUCGAGGGGCAGCGGGAUUGAAGCUUGCUUCAAUUGCCGGCGACCGGCGCACGGGUGAGUAACGCGUAUCCAACCUUCCGUACACUCAGGGAUAGCCUUUCGAAAGAAAGAUUAAUACCUGAUGGUAUCUUAAGCACACAUGUAAUUAAGAUUAAAGAUUAUCGGUGUACGAUGGGGUGGCGUUCCAUAGGUAGG